This 468-nucleotide ribosomal RNA is filed under the name uncultured bacterium. RNAcentral describes it as "partial 16S ribosomal RNA". It matches the Rfam family "Bacterial small subunit ribosomal RNA", at positions 28 to 507 of the family's 1533-position model. The record is from RNAcentral.
GACGAACGCUGGCGGCGUGCUUAACACAUGCAAGUCGAACGGAAAGGCCCUGCUUUUGUGGGGUGCUCGAGUGGCGAACGGGUGAGUAACACGUGAGUAACCUGCCCUUGACUUUGGGAUAACUUCAGGAAACUGGGGCUAAUACCGGAUAGGAGCUCCUGCUGCAUGGUGGGGGUUGGAAAGUUUCGGCGGUUGGGGAUGGACUCGCGGCUUAUCAGCUUGUUGGUUGGGUAGUGGCUUACCAAGGCUUUGACGGGUAGCCGGCCUGAGAGGGUGACCGGCCACAUUGGGACUGGGAUACCGCCCAGACUCCUACGGGAGGCAGCAGUGGGGAAUAUUGCACAAUGGGCGGAAGCCUGAUGCAGCAACGCCGCGUGCGGGAUGACGGCCUUCGGGUUGUAAACCGCUUUCGCCUGUGACGAAGCGUGAGUGACGGUAAUGGGUAAAGAAGCACCGGCUAACUACGUG